Long non-coding RNA from Drosophila montana, 1452 nucleotides. RefSeq lists it as uncharacterized. The transcript has 5 exons. The record is from RefSeq and is a predicted model, not a curated record. NCBI's taxonomy places the organism in Eukaryota, Metazoa, Arthropoda, Insecta, Diptera, Drosophilidae.
UUCAGGUUGCUGUGCACUAUUGUACACGAUGAGGGCUUGCUGUCGAAUGAGACAAUCGGCAGCUUACCUAUUUUAUUUGUGCGUUACUAUCGAGCAACUUAUUCAAAUAUAAUUAGCGUACAUAUCGAUACUUAAAACAAAGUGGCAACUCCGCAUGCGAUGAACGAGAAUUCAUCGCAUGCAUCGAAAGUGAUCGACUGCAGUGUAUUGCAGUCUGGCAAUAUUUUCUUACAAAUAAAUUAUACAUGAUACAUUGUAUUGUGUUUUAACACCAGUUACUAAUUAAUUAAUGAUUCUUUUCUUUCCAGGGGACUCUGGUGAAUUCGCAAGCGGGCGUGCCUUUCGAUGUGCGAGUUGCCUCCAGUUAUGUCCGGGUCGCCACUCGCUAACUGGAUACUGCUGCAGCGUCGGUUGCCGUUGGCCAUAUGUCGCGUGCCGUAGUGGACUUUGCAAGGAAUGCGGCCCAAUUUGCAGCUGUUCCUGGUCUGUGGUUGGAAAAUGCCUGUGUUGUUGCUGCUGUGCUGACUGAGGGGACCGCUUGCGCUUGGUGCCUGUCGGAGUUUGUUGUUGUAGCUUAGUGUGCUCACUGAUCCCUUGCUGCCUAUGUCGGUGAUGCCGUGGCGGCGGUGAUCGGAUUGGUUGUGCAGGUAUUGCUGGCUGUUGCUGAAUGAUCCCCGGCUGUCCUGGUCGUUGUUGCCCUGGCUGAGGGAAACUCAUUGGCGGACUUUGUUGUUGUUUUUGCCGUGGCUUGCGGAGCAGCUCUGCUGAGACUUGUUGCUGCUGUUCAAUGAUCUCUUGCUGCCUUUGUCGUUGAUACCGUGGCGGAAGAGAUUUAAUUGGUUGUGCAGGGAUGAUUCGCUGUGUCGUUGUUGAUGAGGGUUCUGCCCGGCUCUGCUGCUGCCGCUCCAUACUCCGCAACUGUGCAAAACUUCGUACAGUUGUUCGCUUAGCAAUCACUUGCUGCCUUUGUUUUUGACGUCGUGGCAGGGGCGACCGAAUUGGAUUUGCAGAAUUAACUAGCUGCAUUUUUGCUGGUAGGCCUUCUGCCUGGCUCUGUUGCUGUUGCUCAGUGUUCCCCGGCUGCCUUUGUCGUUUGUGUCUUGGCAGAGAGAAACUCAUUUGCUGGCUUUGUUGUUGCUGUUGGCUUGAAUGGAGGAGCUCCUCUGUUGAGGCUAGUUGCUGCUGUUCAAUGAUAUCUUGCUGCCUUUGUCGUUGGUGCCAUGGCGGAAGAGAUUGAAUUGAUUGUACAGAAAUAACUCGCUGUGACGCUGAUGAUGGGCCAUCCGCCCGGAUCUGCUGCAACUGCUCAGUGUUCCCCGGCUGCUCUUGUCGUUGUUGUCCUGGCUGAGGGAAACUCAUUGGCUGGCUUUGAUGUUGCUGUUGCCAUGGCUGGAGGAGCUGCUCUGGCAGCUUUUGCCGUUGAUGCCGUGGCAAAGGUGAUUGAAUUGGUAG